This 1517-nucleotide ribosomal RNA is filed under the name human gut metagenome. Its description in RNAcentral is "bacterial SSU rRNA". It matches the Rfam family "Bacterial small subunit ribosomal RNA". The record is from RNAcentral.
AGAGUUUGAUCCUGGCUCAGGAUGAACGCUGGCGGCGUGCCUAAUACAUGCAAGUCGAGCGAACAGAUGAGGAGCUUGCUCCUCUGACGUUAGCGGCGGACGGGUGAGUAACACGUGGAUAACCUACCUAUAAGACUGGGAUAACUUCGGGAAACCGGAGCUAAUACCGGAUAAUAUAUUGAACCGCAUGGUUCAAUAGUGAAAGACGGUUUUGCUGUCACUUAUAGAUGGAUCCGCGCCGCAUUAGCUAGUUGGUAAGGUAACGGCUUACCAAGGCAACGAUGCGUAGCCGACCUGAGAGGGUGAUCGGCCACACUGGAACUGAGACACGGCCCAGACUCCUACGGGAGGCUGCAGUAGGGAAUCUUCGGCAAUGGGGGCAACCCUGACCGAGCAACGCCGCGUGAGUGAAGAAGGUUUUCGGAUCGUAAAGCUCUGUUGUAAGAGAAGAACGAGUGUGAGAGUGGAAAGUUCACGCUGUGACGGUAUCUUACCAGAAAGGGACGGCUAACUACGUGCCAGCAGCCGCGGUAAUACGUAGGUCCCGAGCGUUAUCCGGAUUUAUUGGGCGUAAAGCGAGCGCAGGCGGUUAGAUAAGUCUGAAGUUAAAGGCUGUGGCUUAACCAUGAAGUGCAUCGGAAACUGGGAAACUUGAGUGCAGAAGAGGACAGUGGAACUCCAUGUGUAGCGGUGAAAUGCGUAGAUAUAUGGAAGAACACCAAUGGCGAAGGCAGGUCUCUGGGCCGUUACUGACGCUGAGGAGCGAAAGCGUGGGGAGCGAACAGGAUUAGAUACCCUGGUAGUCCACGCCGUAAACGGUGGAUGCUGGAUGUGGGGCCCGUUCCACGGGUUCCGUGUCGGAGCUAACGCGUUAAGCAUCCCGCCUGGGGAGUACGACCGCAAGGUUGAAACUCAAAGGAAUUGACGGGGGCCCGCACAAGCGGUGGAGUAUGUGGUUUAAUUCGACGCAACGCGAAGAACCUUACCAGGUCUUGACAUUGAUGGACAGAACUAGAGAUGGUUUGUGCCUCUUUUGGGGUCGGUUCACAGGUGGUGCAUGGCUGUCGUCAGCUCGUGUCGUGAGAUGUUGGGUUAAGUCCCGCAACGAGCGCAACCCUUGUUCACUGUUGCCAGCACGUUAUGGUGGGGACUCAGUGGAGACCGCCGGGGUCAACUCGGAGGAAGGUGGGGAUGACGUCAAGUCAUCAUGCCCCUUAUGUCCAGGGCUUCACGCAUGCUACAAUGGCUGGUACAGAGAGUGGCGAGCCUGUGAGGGUGAGCGAAUCUCGGAAAGCCGGUCUCAGUUCGGAUUGGGGUCUGCAACUCGACCUCAUGAAGUCGGAGUCGCUAGUAAUCGCAGAUCAGCAACGCUGCGGUGAAUACGUUCCCGGGGCUUGUACACACCGCCCGUCAAGUCAUGAAAGUUGGUAACACCCGAAGCCGGUGGCCUAACCGUUGUGGGGGAGCCGUCGAAGGUGGGACUGGUGAUUAGGACUAAGUCGUAACAAGGUAACCAA